AGCGCUUGCGCUACGCCCUUAAAAGGGAAGCUAGUUAAUAUUCUAGCACCUAGAUGUAGAUUCUCCGCGGCAACGCAACUAAGAGCGGAGACCUUAGUAGGAGCCCUAAGAAGAGUUCUCUUUUCUUCUUAACAGUCUGUUACCCUAAAAUUAGUUUGUCUAGAGCUAGGGUUUAAUAGCUAGAAGAGUGCUGCACUUUUGUAGCGUUUGGUGCGCUCCUAAUAAGCCUUAAAAAUCUACUUAAAGAAAUAGUUUUUACGCUAGGUUGUACUUAUAACUGCAGCAGGUCUCUAAGGUAAAAAGCCUCUAGUUAAUAGAACAAUAUAGAUAAGGGAAGUUAGCAAAAUAGAUCUAUAACUUUAGGAAAAGGAUUAGCUCUAAGGGUUAGGUACGUUAGGCCUUGGGGAGAAGCCUCUAGCGCAGAAGGGCACUAACCGUAAGGUAGGCGCCUCUCAGCGCUAGGGUGUAGACACCCUUAGCAGGUUUUGGCUGUCUGGCGUACGUUUAACAACUAACUUAGAACUAGUAUAGAUAAGGGGAAUCUAACUAUCUAAUUAAAAUAUAGCAUUGUAAUAGCUAGAAAGUAGUGUUAAUAUAAUAUAAUUUCUGCCUAGUGCUCUAAAUAUUAAAGCGAAGAGAUUUGACUAAGUGCGGGUAAACGGCGGGAGUAACUAUAACUCUCUUAAGGUAGCUAAAUGCCUUAUUAUCUAAUUAGUAACGCGUAUAAAUAGAUUAAUAAGAUUCCUACUAUCCCUAUCUACUAUCUAGCGAAACCACAGCUAAGGGAACAGGCUUAGCUAAAUUAGUGGGGAAAGAAGACCCUAUUAAGCUUGACUCUAGUUUAACAUUAUAAAAAGACAUAGGGGGUGUAGAAUAGGUAGGAGCUUUAGCGCUAGUGAAAUACUACUACCCUUAUCGUUUUUUUACUUAUUUAAUAAAGCGGAGCUAGGCCUUACUACCUAACUUCUAGCGUUUAAGGUCCUUUGUAGGCUAAUCUAGGUUAAAGAUAUUAUUAGGUAGGGAGUUUAGCUAGGGCAGCACAUCUAUUAAACUAUAACGUAGGUGUUCUAAGGGGGACUUAUAGAGAAUAGAAAUCUCUAGUAGAGUAAAAGGGCAAAAGUCCCCUUAAUUUUAAUUUUUAGUGUGAAUACAAACUAUAAAAGUGUGGCCUAUUAAUCCUUUAGUCCCUUGAAAUUUAAGGCUAGAGGUGCUAGAAAAGUUACUACAGGGAUAACUAGCUUGUGGCAGCCAAGCGUUUAUAGCGACGUUGCUUUUUAAUCCUUUAAUGUUAGCUCUUCCUAUUAUACUAAAGCAGAAUUUAGUAAGCGUUAGAUUGUUUACCUACUAAUAGGGAACGUGAGCUAGGUUUAGACUAUUAUAAGAUAGGUUAGUUUUACCCUACUAAUAACCUUGCCCUAAUAGUAAUACCACUUAGUAUAAGAGGAACCGCGGUUUUAGAUAAUUAGUUUUUGCGGCUGUCUAACUAGGUAUUACCGCGAAGCUACUAUCUACUAGAUUAUAGCUAAACGCCUCUAAGUUAGAAUCUAUGCUAGAAUAGGGUGAUUUCCGCCUGCACUAGUUAGAUACAAAUAGGCCUUUGGCCUAGAACCUUACUAGAUUAGCGUUAGCAGCCCUAUUAAAGUUAGAGUUGU
RNAcentral lists this ribosomal RNA (1652 nucleotides) under Plenodomus biglobosus/Leptosphaeria biglobosa 'brassicae' group. RNAcentral describes it as "eukaryotic LSU rRNA". It matches the Rfam family "Eukaryotic large subunit ribosomal RNA", at positions 1575 to 3254 of the family's 3401-position model. Lineage: Eukaryota; Fungi; Ascomycota; Dothideomycetes; Pleosporales; Leptosphaeriaceae. The record is from RNAcentral.